GAUGAACGCUGGCGGCGUGCCUAAUACAUGCAAGUCGAGCGAACAGACGAGGAGCUUGCUCCUCUGACGUUAGCGGCGGACGGGUGAGUAACACGUGGAUAACCUACCUAUAAGACUGGGAUAACUUCGGGAAACCGGAGCUAAUACCGUAUAAUAUAUUUAACCGCAUGGUUCAAUAGUGAAAUACGGUUUUGCUGUCACUUAUAGGUGGAUCCUCGCCGCAUUAGCUAGUUGGUAAGGUAACGGCUUACCAAGGCAACGAUGCGUAGCCGACAUGAGAGGGGGGUCGGCCACACUGGAACUGAGAAACGGUCAAGACUCCUAAGGGAGGCAGCAGUAGGGAAUCUGCCGCAAUGGGCGAAAGCCUGACGGAGCAAGGCCGCGUGAGUGAUGAAGGUCUUAGGAUCGUAAAACUCUGUUAUUAGUGAAGAACAAAUGUGUAAGUAACUAUGCACGUCUUGACGGUACCGAAUAAGAAAGCCACGGCUAACUACGUG
This 497-nucleotide ribosomal RNA is filed under the name uncultured bacterium. Its description in RNAcentral is "partial 16S ribosomal RNA". It matches the Rfam family "Bacterial small subunit ribosomal RNA", at positions 28 to 507 of the family's 1533-position model. The record is from RNAcentral.